Molecule: long non-coding RNA, 235 nt
Filed under: Dermacentor andersoni
Lineage: Eukaryota; Metazoa; Arthropoda; Arachnida; Ixodida; Ixodidae
Description: uncharacterized LOC126516457
Source: RNAcentral
ACAAGGAUGCUCAUAUGAAAGAGCUUUCACUGGCAACACUUCGCCGACGUGCGUAUCGGUCAGCCAGAAAUGAAUCAAGCAAAGAAACUGCUGCCUCCCCAUUAGAAGCAAAGGUGUUGCCCCAUGCACCUGUCAGCACGACCACCUUGGACGAUCUCCCAUCCCCUGACAGCAACAGCAUGGACCAAAUAAGUGACAAAAGAAAUAUGGUAAUUUCUUUUUGUAUAUGUAUGUG